Molecule: ribosomal RNA, 497 nt
Filed under: uncultured bacterium
Lineage: Bacteria
Description: partial 16S ribosomal RNA
Rfam family: Bacterial small subunit ribosomal RNA
Source: RNAcentral
GAUGAACGCUGGCGGCGUGCCUAAUACAUGCGAGUCGAGCGAACGGACGAGAAGCUUGCUUUUCUGAUGUUAGCGGCGGACGGGUGAGUAACACGUGGAUAACCUACCUAUAAGACUGGGAUAACUUCGGGAAACCGGAGCUAAUACCGGAUAAUAUUUUGAACCGCAUGGUUCAAAAGUGAAAGACGGUCUUGCUGUCACUUAUAGAUGGAUCCGCGCUGCAUUAGCUAGUUGGUAAGGUAACGGCUUACCAAGGCAACGAUGCAUAGCCGACCUGAGAGGGUGAUCGGCCACACUGGAACUGAGACACGGUCCAGACUCCUACGGGAGGCAGCAGUAGGGAAUCUUCCGCAAUGGGCGAAAGCCUGACGGAGCAACGCCUCGUGAGUGAUGAAGGUCUUCGGAUCGUAAAACUCUGUUAUUAGGGAAGAACAUAUGUGUAAGUAACUGUGCACAUCUUGACGGUACCUAAUCAGAAAGCCACGGCUAACUACGUG